Long non-coding RNA from Herpailurus yagouaroundi (jaguarundi), 856 nucleotides. RefSeq lists it as uncharacterized. The transcript has 2 exons. The record is from RefSeq and is a predicted model, not a curated record. Lineage: Eukaryota; Metazoa; Chordata; Mammalia; Carnivora; Felidae.
ACGCUGCUGUCGUGAACUGCUGUGUACGAGUGUCUGUUCGGUCACCUGUCGUGUACAGAGAUCCCUGCUUUCAACCCCUUUGGGUAGAUGGAUACCCAGCAGUGGAACUGCUGGGCCCGAUGGUGGCUCCGGUGUGAUUUUCUGAAGGGCUGCUGAACGGUUUUCCACAGCAGCUGCUCUAAUUCACCGUCUCACCAGCCGAGCACGGGGCUCCGGUCUCUCCACAUCUUGGCCAGCGCCUGGGCGAGGCACUGGACCCGGCCAUCAUCAGCCCGGACCCCAGGUGGACCCCAGGUGAACGUCUCCAUUGCUGUAGCGGCCCACGAGCCGACGCCCUCAACAGCCCGACGCAGAGGAGGAUGAGUUCACGUUACCCCAGGGUGAAGACCAAGGCCUAGACCGCGUUGGGGUUUGGGGGCCUGAGGAGGUGCGGGCCGGAGCCCGGCGGCUGAGUGUGGGGCUGAGUGAGGGAUGUGCCUGUGGCUAAGUCCGCGCGGCUGGUCCUGGCUGCAGGGGGUUUUGUGUGUUUGUGAGAGUUCGCGUGUGCCAGCCGUUGUGUGCGUUUGUGGGAGGUGUAGACGGACGUGUUUAGGGCUAAUAGGACUGAGGAGCUGGGCUGCCUGGGUUGGAGUCUGGCUUCUGCCACUUAGACACCCUGGGCCUUGGGCCAUGGCCCACAUUCUUCCUGCCUUGAUACCCUUUUGCAUUGUGGAUUCAUUCAUCUCUCAAAUAUUUACUGAGCACCUGCGGUGUGCUAGGCACUACUCGGGGCCCUGGAGGUCAUAGCCGUGAACAAAACAGACACAGAUCCCUGCUCUGCUGGGCCAGGCCAACAAUAAAGAUAAUGAAUUCAGUA